This 402-nucleotide unclassified non-coding RNA is filed under the name soil metagenome. RNAcentral describes it as "partial contains 5.8S ribosomal RNA, internal transcribed spacer 2, and large subunit ribosomal RNA". The stretch from base 1 to 121 matches the Rfam family "5.8S ribosomal RNA", at positions 35 to 154 of the family's 154-position model. The record is from RNAcentral.
GAUGAAGAACGUAGCGAAAUGCGAUAAGUAAUGUGAAUUGCAGAAUUCAGUGAAUCAUCGAAUCUUUGAACGCACCUUGCGCCCUUUGGCUAUUCCGAAGGGCAUGCCUGUUUGAGUAUCGUGAACACCUCAACUCUCAUGGUUUGCCAUGAUGAGCUUGGACUUUGGGGGUUUUGCUGGCCUUUGGUCGGCUCCUCUCAAACGGAUCAGCUUUCCAGUGUUUGGUGGCGUCACGGGUGUGAUAACUAUCUACGCCUGUGGUUUUCUGCCAGAUAACCUUCGGCGAUGGAGGUUCGCUGGGGCUCAUAAAUGUCUCUCUUCAGUGGAGACAGCUUUUUGGACGUUUGAUCUCAAAUCAGGUAGGACUACCCGCUGAACUUAAGCAUAUCAAUAAGCGGAGGA